RNAcentral lists this ribosomal RNA (518 nucleotides) under Postia rennyi. RNAcentral's name for it is "SSU rRNA". It matches the Rfam family "Bacterial small subunit ribosomal RNA", at positions 368 to 915 of the family's 1533-position model. Lineage: Eukaryota; Fungi; Basidiomycota; Agaricomycetes; Polyporales; Postiaceae. The record is from RNAcentral.
UCAAUGNUCGCAAGAGUGAACUAGCUAACUGAAAUCAUUUGUACUAUCUGAUAGUAACAAGAGAUGUCGUAAGGGAAAAUAAUGAUACUACCUUACUAAUAGUGUUGUCAAAAGCUGGUGCCAGAAGACUCGGUAAGGCCAGAAACACAAACGUUAAUCAUCUUAAACAGGCGUAAAGGGUUUGUAGGCUGCUUUGAAAUUCUUAAUUUUUAUAUAGCUAUAAAAAAAUUAUGAUGAAUUGAAGCUAGAAUCAAAUAGAGGUUAUAUUGAAUAAUACUUAGAGGAGGGAUUAAAUCCUUAGAACCUAAGGGGAAUACUAAGGGCGAAGGCAUUUUACCACUAAUGAUUGACGCUAAGAAACGAAGGUGAGGAUAGGAAAUAGGAUUAGAUACCCCGGUACCCCUCUCUGUCAACGAUGAAUGGUAGUUCCUAGUUUAAUAAAUUAGAGACGAUGUUAACACGCUAACCAUUCCGCCUUGUGAGUACGAUUGCAAAAUUGAAAACAAAAAAAUUAGUCG